RNAcentral lists this ribosomal RNA (253 nucleotides) under uncultured bacterium. RNAcentral describes it as "partial 16S ribosomal RNA". It matches the Rfam family "Bacterial small subunit ribosomal RNA", at positions 524 to 776 of the family's 1533-position model. The record is from RNAcentral.
UACGUAGGGGGCAAGCGUUGUCCGGAUUUAUUGGGCGUAAAGGGCGCGUAGGCGGUCUUGUCAGUCCCUUGUGAAAUCCCCCGGCUCAACUGGGGAACUGCACGGGAAACAGCAGGGCUUGAGUUCGGGAGAGGGAAGCGGAAUUCCGGGUGUAGCGGUGAAAUGCGUAGAUAUCAGGAAGAACACCAAUGGCGAAAGCAGCUUUCUGGGACGGUACUGACGCUGAGACGCGAAAGCGUGGGGAGCGAACAGG